Molecule: ribosomal RNA, 623 nt
Filed under: uncultured bacterium
Lineage: Bacteria
Description: bacterial SSU rRNA
Rfam family: Bacterial small subunit ribosomal RNA
Source: RNAcentral
AGAGUUUGAUCCUGGCUCAGAACGGACGCUGGCGGCAGGCUUAACACAUGCAAGUCGAGCGAAGGCUUCGGCCUUAGCGGCGGACGGGUGAGUAACACGUGGGAACGUGCCCUUCACUGCGGGAUAGUCCCUGGAAACGGGGUUUAAUACCGCAUACGCCCUUCGGGGGAAAGAAUUUCGGUGAAGGAUCGGCCCGCGUCUGAUUAGGUAGUUGGUGGGGUAACGGCCUACCAAGCCGACGAUCAGUAGCUGGUUUUAGAGGAUGAUCAGCCACACUGGGACUGAGACACGGCCCAGACUCCUACGGGAGGCAGCAGUGGGGAAUCUUAGACAAUGGGCGCAAGCCUGAUCUAGCCAUGCCGCGUGAGUGAUGAAGGCCUUAGGGUCGUAAAGCUCUUUCGCCAGGGAAGAUAAUGACGGUACCUGGUAAAGAAACCCCGGCUAACUCCGUGCCAGCAGCCGCGGUAAUACGGAGGGGGUUAGCGUUGUUCGGAAUUACUGGGCGUAAAGCGCGCGUAGGCGGACUGGAAAGUUGGGGGUGAAAUCCCGGGGCUCAACCUCGGAACUGCCUCCAAAACUGUCAGUCUGGAGUUCGAGAGAGGUGAGUGGGAAUUCCGAGUGUA